This 253-nucleotide ribosomal RNA is filed under the name uncultured bacterium. RNAcentral describes it as "partial 16S ribosomal RNA". It matches the Rfam family "Bacterial small subunit ribosomal RNA", at positions 524 to 776 of the family's 1533-position model. The record is from RNAcentral.
UACGUAGGGUGCGAGCGUUAAUCGGAAUUACUGGACGUAAAGCGUGCGCAGGCGGUUUUGUAAGCCAGAUGUGAAAUCCCCGGGCUUAACCUGGGAAUGGCAUUUGGGACUGCAAGGCUUGAGUGCGGCAGAGGAGACUGGAAUUCCUGGUGUAGCAGUGAAAUGCGUAGAUAUCAGGAGGAAUACCGAUGGCGAAGGCGGCAUCCUGGACCGGCAUUGACGCUGAGGAGCGAAAGCCAGGGGAGCAAACGGG